RNAcentral lists this ribosomal RNA (494 nucleotides) under uncultured bacterium. RNAcentral describes it as "partial 16S ribosomal RNA". It matches the Rfam family "Bacterial small subunit ribosomal RNA", at positions 28 to 507 of the family's 1533-position model. The record is from RNAcentral.
GACGAACGCUGGCGGCGUGCUUAACACAUGCAAGUCGAACGGAAAGGCCUGCUUUCCCUUGUGGGUUGCGGGUACUCGAGUGGCGAACGGGUGAGUAACACGUGAGUGAUCUGCCCCCAACUUGGGUAUAAGCCUGGGAAACUGGGUCUAAUUCCCGCUAGCACUGCAGGGUGGUGCCGGUGGUGGCGGAGGAUGUUCUAGUGGUUGGGGAUGAGCUCGCGGCCUAUCAGCUUGUUGGUGGGGUAAUGGCCUACCAAGGCUGCGACGGGUAGGCGGCCUGGGAGGGUGGACGGGCACAUGGGGACUGAGAUACGGCGCAUGAGCCGACGCGCGGCAGCCGUGGGGAGUAAGGAGCGAUGGGUGGAAGCCUGAGGCAGCGACGCCGCGGGGGGGAUGACGGGCGUCGGGUUGUAACCUCCUGGCGACCGCGAGGAAGCCACCUGGUUGGAAGGGGAGUGACGGUAGUGGGAGAAGAAGCACCGGCUAACUACGUG